AGGGCCGGUGACCUUCGAUGAUGUGGACGUGGGCUUCAGAAACCAAGAGUGCAGUCGCCUGGACUGGCCUGAGAAGGCUCUUUACCCGGACGUGCUAUUAAAGAAUUACGGAAACGCCAUGACACUGAAGCGUGGAGAGCUGUGCAAGAAGGAAAGCGAGAGGAGGAAGUGCACGCGACAGGAUGCUGCGUUGUCUCCUUAAGCGUGUGCGUGUUUGGACAUUUUCCCCUUGAAGGAAGGAUCCUGGAAGGCCCUGCUUCCUUUAGGUUUGCUGUGCCGGUUCGGGUGUUUCUUGAGCUGCCUUCGAAGUGGUUACAUUCCCGUGGGCCUCAGGUGUGACUAGUCUUUGCCUCUUGAGGAUCAUUUUGUUCUGGAAUGUAGCCAAAAGUUACUUAGUAGAAUCUGAAAACCAAGGAAUUGCUCGCGCCGGUGAAUUGAUGUUUAGUCAAAAAUGUCUGUGAUGUGAGCCGGAAGUUUGUGGGACCUUAGGAAUCAAGGGUGUGCGAAUUAUACUCUGACGCCCCUUGUCCUCAUGAGUCCAGCAAGGUUGCUUUCACUCGAUUCCCUAUUCUCAUCGGCCCACUCCCACUCCCAGAAGUGGGCAAUUCUUUUUUUUUUUUUUUUUUAAGUUCAUUUAUUUAUUUAAAUAAUCUCUACCACAACGUGGGGCUCAAACUCUAGAUAAGAGCCACGUACGGGCUCUUGCGACUGAGUCAGCCAGGCGCCCCAGCAGUUCUUUAUCCUGCUCAAUAUUAUACCUUUUUUUUAUUAUUAUUAUCUUGGGUGUACUUUUAUGUAGGGUACAUGUAUUUUCUAUCUUUUAAAAACUAUUUCUCUUAUUAUAAAAUAAAAUUCAUGCAAAAUGUAAAAAAUUCA
Molecule: long non-coding RNA, 876 nt
Filed under: Ursus maritimus (polar bear)
Lineage: Eukaryota; Metazoa; Chordata; Mammalia; Carnivora; Ursidae
Description: lncRNA (ENSUMAG00000012171.1)
Source: RNAcentral